RNAcentral lists this ribosomal RNA (466 nucleotides) under uncultured bacterium. RNAcentral's name for it is "bacterial SSU rRNA". It matches the Rfam family "Bacterial small subunit ribosomal RNA", at positions 329 to 792 of the family's 1533-position model. The record is from RNAcentral.
GGCCAGACUCCUACGGGAGGCAGCAGUGAGGAAUAUUGGUCAAUGGGCGGAAGCCUGAACCAGCCAAGUCGCGUGAGGGAAGAAGGCCCUGCGGGUCGCAGACCUCUUUGGACGGGGAGCAAGGCCGCCGACGUGUCGGCGGAAGGAGAGUACCCGUAGAACAAGCAUCGGCUAACUCCGUGCCAGCAGCCGCGGUAAUACGGAGGAUGCGAGCGUUAUCCGGAUUUAUUGGGUUUAAAGGGUGCGCAGGCGGAAUGUCAAGUCAGCGGUAAAAUUUCGGGGCUCAACCCCGUCGUGCCGUUGAAACUGGCGUUCUUGAGUGAGCGAGAAGUAUGCGGAAUGCGUGGUGUAGCGGUGAAAUGCUUAGAUAUCACGAAGAACUCCGAUUGCGAAGGCAGCCUACUAAACUGCCACUGACAUUGAUGCUCGAAAGUGUGGGUAUCAAACAGGAUUAGAUACCCCAGUA